This 149-nucleotide non-coding RNA is filed under the name Tetragenococcus muriaticus. Its description in RNAcentral is "GlcN6P sequence". It matches the Rfam family "glmS glucosamine-6-phosphate activated ribozyme aptamer". Rfam says of the family: This entry contains a glucosamine-6-phosphate activated ribozyme that is found in the mRNA for GlmS. GlmS is an enzyme that uses fructose-6-phosphate and glutamine to generate glucosamine-6-phosphate. RNAcentral also lists the same sequence under 1 other name. Lineage: Bacteria; Bacillati; Bacillota; Bacilli; Lactobacillales; Enterococcaceae. The record is from RNAcentral.
CAUUAAAGGAAAGCGCCAGGUCUGUUUUGAACAGAAGACGAGGAAAGAGCUUAUCGAAAAUUUCGGCGGGUGGCUCUAGGGUCUGCACUCUAAAGACAAGAACAAAGACAAGCUGUGAGGCUUGCAACAAAAACUUGUCGGGCAGUUAG